UCGGGAAGACAGUUGCGGCGGA
This 22-nucleotide microRNA is filed under the name Tribolium castaneum (red flour beetle). RNAcentral describes it as "tca-miR-3049-5p". The record is from miRBase by way of RNAcentral. Lineage: Eukaryota; Metazoa; Arthropoda; Insecta; Coleoptera; Tenebrionidae.